This 1514-nucleotide ribosomal RNA is filed under the name metagenome. RNAcentral describes it as "bacterial SSU rRNA". It matches the Rfam family "Bacterial small subunit ribosomal RNA". The record is from RNAcentral.
AGAGUUUGAUCAUGGCUCAGAUUGAACGCUGGCGGCAGGCCUAACACAUGCAAGACGAACGGUAACAGGAAGCAGCUUGCUGCUUCGCUGACGAGUGGCGGACGGGUGAGUAAUGUCUGGGAAGCUGCCUGAUGGAGGGGGAUAACUACUGGAAACGGUAGCUAAUACCGCAUAAUGUCGCAAGACCAAAGAGGGGGACCUUCGGGCCUCUUGCCAUCGGAUGUGCCCAGAUGGGAUUAGCUUGUUGGUGGGGUAACGGCUCACCAAGGCGACGAUCCCUAGCUGGUCUGAGAGGAUGACCAGCCACACUGGAACUGAGACACGGUCCAGACUCCUACGGGAGGCAGCAGUGGGGAAUAUUGCACAAUGGGCGCAAGCCUGAUGCAGCCAUGCCGCGUGUAUGAAGAAGGCCCUCGGGUUGUAAAGUACUUUCAGCGGGGAGGAAGGGAGUAAAGUUAAUACCUUUGCUCAUUGACGUUACCCGCAGAAGAAGCACCGGCUAACUCCGUGCCAGCAGCCGCGGUAAUACGGAGGGUGCAAGCGUUAAUCGGAAUUACUGGGCGUAAAGCGCACGCAGGCGGUUUGUUAAGUCAGAUGUGAAAUCCCCGGGCUCAACCUGGGAACUGCAUCUGAUACUGGCAAGCUUGAGUCUCGUAGAGGGGGGUAGAAUUCCAGGUGUAGCGGUGAAAUGCGUAGAGAUCUGGAGGAAUACCGGUGGCGAAGGCGGCCCCCUGGACGAAGACUGACGCUCAGGUGCGAAAGCGUGGGGAGCAAACAGGAUUGGAUACCCUGGUAGUCCACGCCGUAAACGAUGUCGACUUGGAGGUUGUGCCCUUGAGGCGUGGCUUCCGGAGCUAACGCGUUAAGUCGACCGCCUGGGGAGUACGGCCGCAAGGUUAAAACUCAAAUGAAUUGACGGGGGCCCGCACAAGCGGUGGAGCAUGUGGUUUAAUUCGAUGCAACGCGAAGAACCUUACCUGGUCUUGACAUCCACGGAAGUUUUCAGAGAUGAGAAUGUGCCUUCGGGAACCGUGAGACAGGUGCUGCAUGGCUGUCGUCAGCUCGUGUUGUGAAAUGUUGGGUUAAGUCCCGCAACGAGCGCAACCCUUAUCCUUUGUUGCCAGCGGUCCGGCCGGGAACUCAAAGGAGACUGCCGGUGAUAAACUGGAGGAAGGUGGGGAUGACGUCAAGUCAUCAUGGCCCUUACGACCAGGGCUACACACGUGCUACAAUGGCGCAUACAAAGAGAAGCGACCUCGCGAGAGCAAGCGGACCUCAUAAAGUGCGUCGUAGUCCGGAUUGGAGUCUGCAACUCGACUCCAUGAAGUCGGAAUCGCUAGUAAUCGUGGAUCAGAAUGCCACGGUGAAUACGUUCCCGGGCCUUGUACACACCGCCCGUCACACCAUGGGAGUGGGUUGCAAAAGAAGUAGGUAGCUUAACCUUCGGGAGGGCGCUUACCACUUUGUGAUUCAUGACUGGGGUGAAGUCGAAACAAGGUAACCGUAGGGGAACC